UACGUAGGGGGCAAGCGUUGUCCGGAUUUAUUGGGCGUAAAGAGCGUGUAGGCGGCUAGAUAGGUCCGUUGUGAAAACUCGAGGCUCAACCUCGAGACGCCGAUGGAAACCAUCUGGCUAGAGUCCGGAAGAGGAGAGUGGAAUUCCUGGUGUAGCGGUGAAAUGCGCAGAUAUCAGGAAGAACACCCGUGGCUAAGGCGGCUCUCUAGUACGGUACUGACGCUGAGACGCGAAAGCGUGGGGAGCGAACAGG
This 253-nucleotide ribosomal RNA is filed under the name uncultured bacterium. Its description in RNAcentral is "partial 16S ribosomal RNA". It matches the Rfam family "Bacterial small subunit ribosomal RNA", at positions 524 to 776 of the family's 1533-position model. The record is from RNAcentral.